This 84-nucleotide non-coding RNA is filed under the name uncultured Lachnoclostridium sp. Its description in RNAcentral is "TPP riboswitch (THI element)". It matches the Rfam family "TPP riboswitch aptamer (THI element)", at positions 9 to 90 of the family's 105-position model. From Rfam's summary of the family: Vitamin B(1) in its active form thiamin pyrophosphate (TPP) is an essential coenzyme that is synthesised by coupling of pyrimidine and thiazole moieties in bacteria. The previously detected thiamin-regulatory element, thi box was extended, resulting in a new, highly conserved RNA secondary structure, the THI element, which is widely distributed in eubacteria and also occurs in some archaea. Lineage: Bacteria; Bacillati; Bacillota; Clostridia; Lachnospirales; Lachnospiraceae. The record is from RNAcentral.
GAGACUAGGGGAGCUUUAACGGCUGAGAGGAAAGGAAUUUUCGACCCUUAACCUGAUUUGGAUAAUGCCAACGAAGGGAAGAUA